This 775-nucleotide ribosomal RNA is filed under the name uncultured Neocallimastigales. RNAcentral's name for it is "partial large subunit ribosomal RNA". It matches the Rfam family "Eukaryotic large subunit ribosomal RNA", at positions 23 to 635 of the family's 3401-position model. Lineage: Eukaryota; Fungi; Neocallimastigomycota; Neocallimastigomycetes; Neocallimastigales. The record is from RNAcentral.
UAGAGAGAGACAUGCGCGCAUAUCAAUAAGCGGAGGAAAAGAAACUAACUAGGAUUCCCUCAGUAACGGCGAGUGAAGCGGGAAGAGCUCAAAUUUGAAAUCUUCAAGGUUCUACCUUGACGAAUUGUAGUUUAAAGAAGUGUUUUCUGUUGGAGUUUUGGUAAAAGUUCUUUGGAAUAGGACAUCAUAGAGGGUGAGAAUCCCGUAUUUGGUCAUUCCUCCUAGCGUUGUGAUACACUUUCAACGAGUCGGAUUGUUUGGGAAUGCAGUCCAAAAUGGGUGGUAAAUUUCAUCUAAAGCUAAAUAUUGGCGAGAGACCGAUAGCGAACAAGUACCGUGAGGGAAAGAUGAAAAGAACUUUGGAAAGAGAGUUAAACAGUACGUGAAAUUGUCAAAAGGGAAGCGUUUGACACCAGUGUUGUUUAGUUGAAAAUCAAUUCAAUAAUUUUUGAUUUUGAGUAGUAUUGACUUCAUCAGCUUGCUGCUUUCUUUUCGGAAAUUAUUGAAUGCACUUUUCAGUUAACAAGUCAACAUCAAUUUCUUUUGUUGUAAAAGGGUAUGAGGAAGGUGGCUUUCUUUUCGGAGAAAGUGUUUAUAGCCUUGUACCUCUGCAAUCGGAGAGAUUGAGGUCUGCAGCGUAGAUCCUUCGGGGUUAGAUACAUUUGUGCUAAGUUAUAGCUUUUCAUAGACAACUUGUUGACUAUGUUUAGUCUUGUAGCUUACUCGCUUAUGCUAUUUUACCUACGCUUAGGAUGUUGAUCUGUAGUGCGUGCGC